RNAcentral lists this ribosomal RNA (253 nucleotides) under uncultured bacterium. Its description in RNAcentral is "partial 16S ribosomal RNA". It matches the Rfam family "Bacterial small subunit ribosomal RNA", at positions 524 to 776 of the family's 1533-position model. The record is from RNAcentral.
UACGUAGGGUGCAAGCGUUAAUCGGAAUUACUGGGCGUAAAGCGUGCGCAGGCGGCUUUGCAAGACAGAUGUGAAAUCCCCGGGCUUAACCUGGGAACUGCAUUUGUGACUGCAUGGCUGGAGUGCGGCAGAGGGGGAUGGAAUUCCGCGUGUAGCAGUGAAAUGCGUAGGUAUGCGGAGGAACACCGAUGGCGAAGGCAAUCCCCUGGGCCUGCACUGACGCUCAUGCACGAAAGCGUGGGGAGCAAACAGG